CAGCGCUAUGUAAAAGUGCUGCCUAAAGGGUGGGCUUACGCAGCGCUUUUCACCAAUGGAUUUUUAUAUUUUUUCAUUUUUCAUUUUCUUUUCAAUCUAACGCAAAACUCUCUCUCUUAUCUCGAUAAUCUCUCGUCUUCUUCCUAUCAUUUUCUUCUCCGCCGCUAUCAACAACAAUCCUAACCCUAAAUCAUGCUCACGCCCAGAAUCGACCAAGACCCACAUGCAAUCUCGCAUCGUUUUUGUUGGUCUUUCAUCGUUUCUAACUACACAACGAGAAGUGGUACCCUAAAACCAAGCCACACUGUUGAAGCCAAACAGUCAUCGCAGAAGUUGCUUGCAAAGAUGAAGGUCGUCACCUAUGGUUAAUAUCAUUCUAGCGAAGUUGGAUUUGACCCAGCAACUAUUGUUAUUCGGUUAAUAAAUCAAAAUAGAGAAUUCAAUCGCGGCCGAUGAUUUCGUCGAUGAGCUCAAUUUCGAUUUCGAUUGAAGCUUCAGGGCAGUGGAUGGCUUCAGAAAGUUGCAGAUGCUUUGUCUAAGUUAGAACAGUCUCCUCAGCCGGAAGUAGCCAAGGGUGUACAAGCUUCAAAGAAACGAGAUGUUGCUUUGAAGCCGUUGAUUGAUGCUUUGGUUUAUGGUGGUUUGCUUUGUCAUGAGGAUAAGGAUGUCAAACUUGUGGUUGCCAUUUGCGUCAUUGAAUUACUUAGAGUCAUGGCUUCUGAACCCCCUUUUGAAGACAGGCAUUUAAGGGAUGUAUUUAAACUCAUCAUUGGUUUGUUUGCGGAUCUAGCUGAUACUUCAAGUCCAUUAUUGUGGUACACUUAUGGUCUUUCAAAUAGUAUGGUUGUAUUGUAUGUGGAUUCCUGUUGUGGAUAUCUUUUGACUUUAAUUUACUUGCAUCUUUUUGUAUAGCUCUUUGUAGCUUGAAUGUAGAGAACUGCAGUAUCACAUCCAGAACCAUUCAAAAAAUUGCUGAUGCAUUGGACUCUAAAUCUGUACUUUCACACCUUUGUAUAGGUAUGAUAAUGAUAGGAAUGGAUUGGACCCCACAAGUGAUGAUGGGGAUGUGUUAGUUAAUAGAGACAUUGUUGGGCCUAAACAAUGGAGGGUGUAUGUGAGAAAGAAUAAGAAAGUGAAUUAAUUGGGUAAUUGGCCCAAUUAAUUAGUAUUCUCCAAAUAAUUAGGAGUUGGCUCAAUUAGUUAGAUUUUAUUCCGCAAAUAAUUAGGAGUGGCUUAGUAUGUUAGUUUUUAUCAUCCAAAUAAAUAGGAGUUAGUUCAGUUAGUAUUCCCCAUAUAAAUAGGAGUGUAUGGGGCAGUAGUUAGUAGGAUUAUUAUUUUCUGUUUUCUUCAUUAGGGUUUAGGCAGUGAGAGAAUUAUUUCUCUGACUGAGGAGCAGCAGCUCUGGAAUUCUGUUCUGUUUUCAUAUUCAGUAAUAAAAUAACUUUCUCCAUUACCUCUGUUCUAUCAGAUAACCUACAGCUCUUUUUAAUUCCCUGAUACAUGUAAUAUUUCUUGCAUAAUGGGUAGUUUACUUUUGACAGGACACAACAACCCUGUAUCUGGGAAUGCUUUAGUUAAUCUUCUAUCCAAGCUUUCUACUUUAAAAAGGUUUUCGGAGUUGAAUAUGAGUGGUCUAAAACUAGGCAAACCGGUAGUCAAUAGCCUUUGCCAGCUCACAGGGACCUUGACUUUAUCAGGACUAAUACUUGGAGGCACUGGUAUUGGAAACGAUGCAACUUAUGCUUCUUAUCAACUUGCUGCAUCAGUAAUCCGAAAUUCUGCUCAGGAUGAUGAGCUGAACCUCAUAAUUUGCAGCUUUUUAUCUUCUUGUAUAUAUGACAGAGAUGCCGUGGGCAGCGGGCUCAAAGAAUUUUAUCAUGGAAUCAUCUUUCAAGUUUUUCAGUGUGCGCCUCAAAUGCUACACGCUGGAUUCAAUUGGCCGAAAUCAGUUUUUGACACGUUUAUUCUGUUCCUUUUCUCCUAAUAUAUUGAUAUUCUUAUUCUAACAUUUUUAUUAUAUUUACAAUCAAUUUUGUAGGCUGAUCAGGUUGAUGUUCGGUUAAAAGCUGUUAAUUUGGUGGGGAAACUUUUUGCACUUCCUGAACACCGUGUUGCAUAGAAGUUUCAUGAUCUUUUUCUGGAGUUUCUGAAAAGAUUUUCUGAUAAGUCUGUGGAUAUACGAAUUAGUGCUCUACAAUGUGCCAAAGCUUUCUAUGCGGCAGAUCCUUUUGGGAGAGAAUCACUUGAAAUUAUCAGCUGCAGAAUGAGAUGAAAAACUAUUUGGCUUUACAGAAGAAAUUAAAGGUAAAAGGCAAGGAAAAACUAUCUGGCCCUUUUCUAAAAACAGACAUUAAAUAAUUCUUCAAUAUUAUGCAACAACUUCGUUGUGGUGUGAGGAUACUUUGAUGUACCCUUAUCUUAUGAAGAAGGCAUUUGAAUACUCUCAAGAAUGAACAACUUGUCUUAGCUCUUAGGAAGAAUUCACCAUGAAAAUGCUUGUAAUUGUUAACAUAACUUAGGUUUUUUUAAAAUUGAAUCCUCUUGUAUAGAAUCCAUGUUGACAUAACUUAGGUUAUGAGAUUUUGUAUGAGUUAUUGUUCUCGGUAUUCUCUUAGUGUAUGGAUUGAAUAUGUAUAUUGAUGUUGUUGUUUCAAAUUUUA
Long non-coding RNA from Vicia villosa (hairy vetch), 2660 nucleotides. RefSeq lists it as uncharacterized. Lineage: Eukaryota; Viridiplantae; Streptophyta; Magnoliopsida; Fabales; Fabaceae. The transcript is spliced from 7 exons. The record is from RefSeq and is a predicted model, not a curated record.